GAUGAAGAACGUAGCGAAAUGCGAUAAGUAAUGUGAAUUGCAGAAUUCAGUGAAUCAUCGAGUCUUUGAACGCACAUUGCGCCCCCUGGUAUUCCGGGGGGCAUGCCUGUCCGAGCGUCAUUGCCGCCCUCAAGCACGGCUUGUGUGUUGGGCCCCCGCCCCCCGGCUUCGGGGGGCGGGCCCGAAAGGCAGCGGCGGCACCGCGUCCGGUCCUCGAGCGUAUGGGGCUUCGUCACCCGCUCUGUAGGCCCGGCCGGCGCCCGCCGGCGACCCCAAUCAAUCUUUCCAGGUUGACCUCGGAUCAGGUAGGGAUACCCGCUGAACUUAAGCAUAUCAAUAACGGAGGA
RNAcentral lists this unclassified non-coding RNA (347 nucleotides) under soil metagenome. RNAcentral's name for it is "partial contains 5.8S ribosomal RNA, internal transcribed spacer 2, and large subunit ribosomal RNA". The stretch from base 1 to 120 matches the Rfam family "5.8S ribosomal RNA", at positions 35 to 154 of the family's 154-position model. The record is from RNAcentral.